CUCGUCAGCGCCAUGCUCAAAGAGGCGGCCGG
RNAcentral lists this non-coding RNA (32 nucleotides) under Geobacter sulfurreducens PCA. The record is from RNAcentral. Lineage: Bacteria; Pseudomonadati; Thermodesulfobacteriota; Desulfuromonadia; Geobacterales; Geobacteraceae.